This 490-nucleotide ribosomal RNA is filed under the name uncultured bacterium. Its description in RNAcentral is "partial 16S ribosomal RNA". It matches the Rfam family "Bacterial small subunit ribosomal RNA", at positions 30 to 507 of the family's 1533-position model. The record is from RNAcentral.
AUUGAACGCUGGCGGCAGGCCUAACACAUGCAAGUCGAACGGUAACAGGAAGAAGCUUGCUUCUUUGCUGACGAGUGGCGGACGGGUGAGUAAUGUCUGGGAAACUGCCUGAUGGAGGGGGAUAACUACUGGAAACGGUAGCUAAUACCGCAUAACGUCGCAAGACCAAAGAGGGGGACCUUCGGGCCUCUUGCCAUCGGAUGUGCCCAGAUGGGAUUAGCUAGUAGGUGGGGUAACGGCUCACCUAGGCGAUGAUCCCUAGCUGGUCUGAGAGGAUGACCAGCCACACUGGAACUGAGACACGGUCCAGACUCCUACGGGAGGCAGCAGUGGGGAAUAUUGCACAAUGGGCGCAAGCCUGAUGCAGCCAUGCCGCGUGUAUGAAGAAGGCCUUCGGGUUGUAAAGUACUUUCAGCGGGGAGGAAGGGAGUAAAGUUAAUACCUUUACUCAUUGACGUUACCCGCAGAAGAAGCACCGGCUAACUCCGUG